This 212-nucleotide unclassified non-coding RNA is filed under the name Hevea brasiliensis (rubber tree). Lineage: Eukaryota; Viridiplantae; Streptophyta; Magnoliopsida; Malpighiales; Euphorbiaceae. The record is from RNAcentral.
AUUUAAUCUCUUUCUAUUUUCUAGAGAGAGAUUUUCUCUACCUGAUUUUAGCCUUUGAUUUUCUUUCUCUUUCUUACCGAGUGCAUUUCGUGUGCUUCCCCUAUCAUUCGGAAUAGGGGAAGUCAACAUUGUUUUGCUCUAGCUCAGAAUAAUUUCCCUCUUACCUUGAUUUGAUUGUGCAUAUUUGAGUUUUUGUGAGUUGCAGAUGGUGG